RNAcentral lists this ribosomal RNA (460 nucleotides) under uncultured bacterium. Its description in RNAcentral is "partial 16S ribosomal RNA". It matches the Rfam family "Bacterial small subunit ribosomal RNA", at positions 338 to 795 of the family's 1533-position model. The record is from RNAcentral.
CCUACGGGAGGCAGCAGUGAGGAAUAUUGGUCAAUGGACGAGAGUCUGAACCAGCCAAGUCGCGUGAAGGAUGACUGCCCUAUGGGUUGUAAACUUCUUUUAUAUGGGAAUAAAACGUUCCACGUGUGGGAUUUUGUAUGUACCAUAUGAAUAAGGAUCGGCUAACUCCGUGCCAGCAGCCGCGGUAAUACGGAGGAUCCGAGCGUUAUCCGGAUUUAUUGGGUUUAAAGGGAGCGUAGGUGGAUUGUUAAGUCAGUUGUGAAAGUUUGCGGCUCAACCGUAAAAUUGCAGUUGAAACUGGCAGUCUUGAGUACAGUAGAGGUGGGCGGAAUGCGUGGUGUAGCGGUGAAAUGCUUAGAGAUCACGAAGAACUCCGAUUGCGAAGGCAGUUCACUGGACUGCAACUGACACUGAGGCUCGAAAGUGUGGGUAUCAAACAGGAUUAGAUACCCUAGCAGUC